RNAcentral lists this long non-coding RNA (1182 nucleotides) under Nicotiana tabacum (common tobacco). Its description in RNAcentral is "long non-coding RNA (NTAB_LNC002956)". Lineage: Eukaryota; Viridiplantae; Streptophyta; Magnoliopsida; Solanales; Solanaceae. The record is from RNAcentral.
UUGGUGCUCUACAAAAGCAAUGGCUAAGAAUUCAAUGGCCAAAAUUGUGGGAAGAGUACCCCAUGGGACGGGUUGGCCCAAAUAUGUAGCUUGCCCUCCGGGAAUGGCAGCCCAUUCUUGGGCCUUUACCCAGUUGCCCAGGCCCAAUGCUUCUGGUACUAGGAUUCCAGGCUGCAAAAACAAUUGAUGAAAUAUUAUAUAUGUUAGAAAUUCACUUGUUCAUUAAAAGAAUCCGAAAACUUUAAAAGGAGUUUGUAAUUUCUUCCCAAACAUUUCAAAUGUUGAACUUGGAAUAUUUCUAGUUUUUUUUUUUUUAAAUCUAAUAAGCAUUUUAUUCAGCUUUCCGAACAGAGUACAUUGAGAUGAGGGAGUACACAAAAAGUCUAAUAUUUCUAGUUAGUGAUCAUAUUAUUUUACUAUAACUCAAUCACAAUAAAAAAAGAUUUGCUCUAGAAAAAAAUGAGUAAUACUGAGCUCCGUUCGAUUACUAUGUUAAUGACCUUAGGGACUUGACCAGGUUAAUUUCGAUUCAUCAUCAAAUAUUAAAUUAUAAUUCUUUAAAUAUCAAAUUAAUUACCUCUAAGUACACAUGGCAACGUACUACUUUAUUCUAACUGUAACUUUCCUUUCCCAUUUCCCCUACUUUAAUAACAAGAGUCUGUAUGCCUUGGCUAAGAUUAUUUGUACUAAUUAUAUUGUUAAAAGUCUCAUGUUUAGAAACAAAAUUUUUACUUAAAAAUAAAACAAGUAAAUAGGAGCUUAGCUUACCACAGCAAGCAUAGCCCAUCUGCAGUGAAUGAGUUCAGACUCCUUGUAUCUCUCCAAGUUCGCUGGUACUUCUCCUAGACCAAGUGGAUCGAAUCCAAAAUCUCUGUAUUCACAAAUCACCCUCCAUUAUACAAUUAUUCUGAAGUUAAAUUUAAAAAACAUAUUUGACCGUUCAGCCAAAAAUAGUUAAAGUCCCUAGCCGAAUAUACAAAAAAAUAUACACUAAUUAUGUAUAAAAUGUGUAUACUAUAUAUAAUAUAUGAAAAAUAUAUAUUUUCCACGACAACUAAAAUGGAUUGUAGGGAGUAAAUUAUUACCCGGGGGCAGAGCCGUCAAGAUAAGGAGGGCGGGGCUGGCCCGGCAUCCACUCGGCAGACAUGCUGAACCGGGAGUUGGCAUUGGCUGCUCCUAAAC